This 1554-nucleotide ribosomal RNA is filed under the name Salmonella enterica. RNAcentral's name for it is "bacterial SSU rRNA". It matches the Rfam family "Bacterial small subunit ribosomal RNA". The record is from RNAcentral. RNAcentral also lists the same sequence under 1 other name. Lineage: Bacteria; Pseudomonadati; Pseudomonadota; Gammaproteobacteria; Enterobacterales; Enterobacteriaceae.
AAAUUGAAGAGUUUGAUCAUGGCUCAGAUUGAACGCUGGCGGCAGGCCUAACACAUGCAAGUCGAACGGUAACAGGAAGCAGCUUGCUGCUUUGCUGACGAGUGGCGGACGGGUGAGUAAUGUCUGGGAAACUGCCUGAUGGAGGGGGAUAACUACUGGAAACGGUGGCUAAUACCGCAUAACGUCGCAAGACCAAAGAGGGGGACCUUCGGGCCUCUUGCCAUCAGAUGUGCCCAGAUGGGAUUAGCUAGUUGGUGAGGUAACGGCUCACCAAGGCGACGAUCCCUAGCUGGUCUGAGAGGAUGACCAGCCACACUGGAACUGAGACACGGUCCAGACUCCUACGGGAGGCAGCAGUGGGGAAUAUUGCACAAUGGGCGCAAGCCUGAUGCAGCCAUGCCGCGUGUAUGAAGAAGGCCUUCGGGUUGUAAAGUACUUUCAGCGGGGAGGAAGGUGUUGUGGUUAAUAACCGCAGCAAUUGACGUUACCCGCAGAAGAAGCACCGGCUAACUCCGUGCCAGCAGCCGCGGUAAUACGGAGGGUGCAAGCGUUAAUCGGAAUUACUGGGCGUAAAGCGCACGCAGGCGGUCUGUCAAGUCGGAUGUGAAAUCCCCGGGCUCAACCUGGGAACUGCAUUUGAAACUGGCAGGCUUGAGUCUUGUAGAGGGGGGUAGAAUUCCAGGUGUAGCGGUGAAAUGCGUAGAGAUCUGGAGGAAUACCGGUGGCGAAGGCGGCCCCCUGGACAAAGACUGACGCUCAGGUGCGAAAGCGUGGGGAGCAAACAGGAUUAGAUACCCUGGUAGUCCACGCCGUAAACGAUGUCUACUUGGAGGUUGUGCCCUUGAGGCGUGGCUUCCGGAGCUAACGCGUUAAGUAGACCGCCUGGGGAGUACGGCCGCAAGGUUAAAACUCAAAUGAAUUGACGGGGGCCCGCACAAGCGGUGGAGCAUGUGGUUUAAUUCGAUGCAACGCGAAGAACCUUACCUGGUCUUGACAUCCACGGAAGUUUUCAGAGAUGAGAAUGUGCCUUCGGGAACCGUGAGACAGGUGCUGCAUGGCUGUCGUCAGCUCGUGUUGUGAAAUGUUGGGUUAAGUCCCGCAACGAGCGCAACCCUUAUCCUUUGUUGCCAGCGGUCCGGCCGGGAACUCAAAGGAGACUGCCAGUGAUAAACUGGAGGAAGGUGGGGAUGACGUCAAGUCAUCAUGGCCCUUACGACCAGGGCUACACACGUGCUACAAUGGCGCAUACAAAGAGAAGCGACCUCGCGAGAGCAAGCGGACCUCAUAAAGUGCGUCGUAGUCCGGAUUGGAGUCUGCAACUCGACUCCAUGAAGUCGGAAUCGCUAGUAAUCGUGGAUCAGAAUGCCACGGUGAAUACGUUCCCGGGCCUUGUACACACCGCCCGUCACACCAUGGGAGUGGGUUGCAAAAGAAGUAGGUAGCUUAACCUUCGGGAGGGCGCUUACCACUUUGUGAUUCAUGACUGGGGUGAAGUCGUAACAAGGUAACCGUAGGGGAACCUGCGGUUGGAUCACCUCCUUACCUUAAAGAAGC